RNAcentral lists this small nuclear RNA (332 nucleotides) under Jaculus jaculus (lesser Egyptian jerboa). Its description in RNAcentral is "7SK RNA (ENSJJAG00000003382.1)". It matches the Rfam family "7SK RNA". From Rfam's summary of the family: 7SK was discovered as an abundant small nuclear RNA in the mid-70s but a possible function has only recently been suggested. Two independent studies have found that 7SK RNA binds the CDK9/cyclin T complex (known as elongation factor P-TEFb). P-TEFb activates transcription by phosphorylating the C-terminal domain of RNA polymerase II. Lineage: Eukaryota; Metazoa; Chordata; Mammalia; Rodentia; Dipodidae. The record is from RNAcentral.
GGAUGUGAAGGCGAUCUGGCUGCGACAUCUGUCAUCCCACUGAUCACCAGGGUUAAUUCGGCUGAUCUGGCUGGGAAGGCGGGUGUCCCCUUCCUCCCUCACCACUCUGUGUGCAGAAGCUGCACGCUUGGUUAAAGAGGAUGACCUUCCCCUACUAGAGGAGGACCGGUCUUCGGACAAGGGUUUACGAGUAGCUGCGUGCCCCUGUUAGAACCUCCAAACAAGCUCUGAAGAAAAUUGUGAGUUUUAGGCUAGCCUGGGCUACAUAGUGAGUUUGUGUCUUAAAAAUAAAUCAAAUUCAAGCAAAUACCGAAGCAUAUACACAUUAACUU